GCGGCCUGAGCAGGAAAGGAAAGGAGAUGUCCAUCUUAGUAAAGGGAAAUGUUUCUUCUGUAACUGGAAAACCUCAGCUUUCAUCUCCGACUUUAUCCCUCAUUUAACAUGAAUGGAACAAGGCAUCUGGAUCACUCAGAAGACCGUAAGGAAAGGGAUGGAUGGAGGCACUCCCCACUACCAAGAAAACAAAAGAUGUGAUGCCUCAGGUACUCCUGGAACACAUCAACCCCUGGUUUGGCAUGCCACCCCCUAAGCUCCUGGGACAUCAAAGCUGGGUCAAAUCCACAAUUUUUAUCAUCCCGGUGGCUCCUCCCAACCUUUCUUCUAGUUGACUUUCAUAAGUCACACAGAGCUACUCCAGAACAGUGAGUGCAAUGCAGGGAGC
This is a long non-coding RNA of Peromyscus eremicus (cactus mouse), 388 nucleotides long. RefSeq lists it as uncharacterized. Lineage: Eukaryota; Metazoa; Chordata; Mammalia; Rodentia; Cricetidae. The transcript has 3 exons. The record is from RefSeq and is a predicted model, not a curated record.